GACGAACGCUGGCGGCGUGCUUAACACAUGCAAGUCGAACGGAAAGGCCCUGCUUUUGUGGGGUGCUCGAGUGGCGAACGGGUGAGUAACACGUGAGUAACCUGCCCUUGACUUUGGGAUAACUUCAGGAAACUGGGGCUAAUACCGGAUAGGAGCUCCUGCUGCAUGGUGGGGGUUGGAAAGUUUCGGCGGGUGGGGAUGGAACCGCGGCUUAUCAGCUUGUUGGUGCGGUAGUGGCUUACCAAGGCUUUGACGGGUAGCCGGCCCGGGAGGGUGACCGGCCACAUUGGAACUGAGAUACGGCCCAGACUCCUACGGGAGGCAGCAGUGGGGAAUAUUGCACAAUGGGCGGAAGCCUGAUGCAGCAACGCCGCGUGCGGGAUGACGGCCUUCGGGUUGUAAACCGCUUUCGCCUGUGACGAAGCGUGAGUGACGGUAAGGGGUAAAGAAGCACCGGCUAACUACGUG
RNAcentral lists this ribosomal RNA (468 nucleotides) under uncultured bacterium. Its description in RNAcentral is "partial 16S ribosomal RNA". It matches the Rfam family "Bacterial small subunit ribosomal RNA", at positions 28 to 507 of the family's 1533-position model. The record is from RNAcentral.